RNAcentral lists this long non-coding RNA (339 nucleotides) under Trifolium pratense (red clover). RNAcentral describes it as "long non-coding RNA (TPRA_LNC003973)". Lineage: Eukaryota; Viridiplantae; Streptophyta; Magnoliopsida; Fabales; Fabaceae. The record is from RNAcentral.
AGUGACUGCUACCGCCAAUUUGCCAUUGUCAGCUGCCACCUUUUUUAUCAAUGACCAUAUCCAGAUGUUCACCAUCCCAAGACUUGGCUUCUAUCAUCUCCCUGACCACCCCCGAAUAUGCAACACCAUAGAUUGCCCACUUCUAAUACAUGCUCAAUUGAGUCACCCGAGCGGUGCAAAACUACAAAAAUAGUGUCACGUCUCUCCAAGUUAUCUAAUUUGUCUUGUGAGUCUUGUCAAAAUGGAAAACAUACCCAUAGUUCACUCCCUAAUUGGAUCCAUAAAGUCUCCCUUUGCCUUGGUUCAUUCUGACACGGAGGUCCUAGCCGUACUGAGUCA